AUUGAACGCUGGCGGCAGGCUUAACACAUGCAAGUCGAGCGGGGUGAUGGUGCUUGCACUAUCACUUAGCGGCGGACGGGUGAGUAAUGCUUAGGAAUCUGCCUAUUAGUGGGGGACAACAUCCCGAAAGGGAUGCUAAUACCGCAUACGUCCUACGGGAGAAAGCAGGGGAUCACUUGUGACCUUGCGCUAAUAGAUGAGCCUACGUCGGAUUAGCUAGUUGGUGGGGUAAAGGCCUACCAAGGCGACGAUCUGUAGCGGGUCUGAGAGGAUGAUCCGCCACACUGGGACUGAGACACGGCCCAGACUCCUACGGGAGGCAGCAGUGGGGAAGAUUGGACAAUGGGGGGAACCCUGAUCCAGCCAUGCCGCGUGUGUGAAGAAGGCCUUAUGGUUGUAAAGCACUUUAAGCGAGGAGGAGGCUCUUUUGGUUAAUACCCAAGAUGAGUGGACGUUACUCGCAGAAUAAGCACCGCCUAACUCUGUGCCAGCAGCCGCCGUAA
This 503-nucleotide ribosomal RNA is filed under the name uncultured bacterium. RNAcentral's name for it is "partial 16S ribosomal RNA". It matches the Rfam family "Bacterial small subunit ribosomal RNA", at positions 30 to 523 of the family's 1533-position model. The record is from RNAcentral.